CCUACGGGUGGCAGCAGUCGAGAAUCAUUCACAAUGGGGGAAACCCUGAUGGUGCGACGCCGCGUGGGGGAAUGAAGGUCUUCGGAUUGUAAACCCCUGUCAUGUGGGAGCAAAUUAAAAAGAUAGUACCACAAGAGGAAGAGACGGCUAACUCUGUGCCAGCAGCCGCGGUAAUACAGAGGUCUCAAGCGUUGUUCGGAAUCACUGGGCGUAAAGCGUGCGUAGGCUGUUUCGUAAGUCGUGUGUGAAAGGCGCGGGCUCAACCCGCGGACGGCACAUGAUACUGCGAGAAUAGAGGAAUGGAGGGGGAGCCGGAAUUCUCGGUGUAGCAGUGAAAUGCGUAGAUAGCGAGAGGAACACUCGUGGCGAAGGCGGGUUCCUGGACAUUAACUGACGCUGAGGCACGAAGGCCAGGGGAGCGAAAGGGAUUAGAUACCCGGGUAGUC
This 446-nucleotide ribosomal RNA is filed under the name uncultured bacterium. RNAcentral describes it as "partial 16S ribosomal RNA". It matches the Rfam family "Bacterial small subunit ribosomal RNA", at positions 338 to 795 of the family's 1533-position model. The record is from RNAcentral.